RNAcentral lists this long non-coding RNA (1248 nucleotides) under Panax ginseng (ginseng). Its description in RNAcentral is "long non-coding RNA (PGIN_LNC013653)". The record is from RNAcentral. Lineage: Eukaryota; Viridiplantae; Streptophyta; Magnoliopsida; Apiales; Araliaceae.
ACCUAGACAAAUUUUAAUGACAAGCCUGACACCUGAAUAAAUUUUUGUUACCCAACAAAUUCAGAACCAUUUUCUCUCUCUAAACUCAUCUUUAUCAUAUCCAUUUUCCCUCUCUCUUUCUAAACUCAUUUUACUCAGAUCUAUAUUUCGUGUUUGCCGAUCAGAGCUUCAACUUUUAUGUCAUUUUCCGAAGUCGUUCUCUAACAUAACGCUAAAAGAAACCUUUUCAUCUCUUUCUCUCAUUUCCUUCGCAGCUUUAUAAGGGUUUUGGAAGACAGGCGAGGUUAAAAAAAAUCCCCAAUUCAUCACCAUGAGGUUCUUCUGAUCUGAGCUAUGAGCUUGCCAGAUUAUGAGUUCUCUCUUUUCUAGUGGUUUUUAUGGAUUCUGGGAUGCUCUCGAUUGAUCCAUGUUUCAUGGUGAUUUGGGUUCAUGCUGCAUCUACUGAAUAUCAUGUUCAUGCUCUGCUCUGGGUUCUAUUAAGGUUUCCAUCUCAGUUGAAUUGGGGACGAUUCUUAUUGAUUUUAUUCGUCUGAUUUGGUGUUUUACUUUCAAUCAAUUUCAAUUUUGGCUGGUUUGGUUUUGAUUUUUUUCUUAUAAUUAUUUGGUUUGGUUUUGAUUUGGUAUUAGGUAUUUGGGUUUCGGUGCUUUUAGUUUCACUCUUGCAUUUGGCUGGUUGAAUCUUGGGUUGCUGUCCCUCACCAAGUUUGGGCGGCCGGAAUCUGGGUUUUUGGCUCGUCUGAUUCCGUGUUUUCUUAGUUCUGGGUAUCAUUUUGUUUGUCUAUCUUUCAUAUUCAAAGUUUGGUUGGGCUUGAGUUGCAUCUCUUGAUGCCGUUAAUGUCGUGUAAUAAUGGGAAACAUGGAGGUUGUUCAUCCUGCAUAAAAGCAGCUUCAUCCGAGUUUAAUUUGAAUUGUUUACAGAGAAUGGGUUUAGAGAGAGAAAAUGGCAAACACUAAAUGAUGAUUACAUGAGUUUGAAAUUAAGUUGUUUAAUUUGUUUUAAUUAGAAUUUAAUAUUCUAUCUUCAUACUUUGUCACUAAAAUUUGUCUAGCCACGUCAGUAACGUUAGUUUAUGUGGCCGUUAACGGCAAUGACACACUUACCUAAAAUUUAUAAUGUCAAGUGUAUUUUUAAAAAAAAAAAAAAUUAAAAAUAUAAGUAAGAUAUCGGAGAUAUUUUUAAACUUUUGCCCUAGCAUAAAUUGAUAGGAAUUACAAAUGUCAUAGAAAUUAAAAUAUCGCUAAAGCAAG